RNAcentral lists this ribosomal RNA (465 nucleotides) under uncultured bacterium. Its description in RNAcentral is "partial 16S ribosomal RNA". It matches the Rfam family "Bacterial small subunit ribosomal RNA", at positions 28 to 507 of the family's 1533-position model. The record is from RNAcentral.
GACGAACGCUGGCGGCGUGCUUAACACAUGCAAGUCGAGCAGUAAGGCCCCUUCGGGGGUACGCGAGCGGCGAACGGGUGAGUAACACGUGAGCAAUCUGCCCAUCACAUCGGGAUAACUCCGGGAAACCGAAGCUAAUACCGAAUACGACCACCUCCGGCAUCGGAUGGUGGUGGAAAGUUCCGGCGGUGAUGGAUGAGCUCGCGGCCUAUCAGCUUGUUGGUGGGGUAACGGCCCACCAAGGCUUCGACGGGUAGCCGGCCUGAGAGGGUGACCGGCCACACUGGGACUGAGACACGGCCCAGACUCCUACGGGAGGCAGCAGUGGGGAAUAUUGGACAAUGGGCGAAAGCCUGAUCCAGCAACGCCGCGUGAGGGAUGACGGCCUUCGGGUUGUAAACCUCUUUCAGCAGGGACGAAGCGCAAGUGACGGUACCUGCAGAAGAAGCACCGGCCAACUACGUG